This 58-nucleotide transfer RNA is filed under the name Cricetulus griseus (Chinese hamster). Lineage: Eukaryota; Metazoa; Chordata; Mammalia; Rodentia; Cricetidae. The record is from Rfam by way of RNAcentral.
UGGCUCAGUGGUUAAGAGCACUGACUCUUCUUCCAGAAGACCUGGGUUCAAUUCCCAG